CCGCGCUUAGCUCAGCUGGCUAGAGCACCUGACUGUAGAUCAGGGGGUCCCCGGUUCAAGUCCGGGAGCGCGGACCA
Molecule: transfer RNA, 77 nt
Filed under: Methanobacteriota archaeon
Lineage: Archaea; Methanobacteriati; Methanobacteriota
Also listed under: 2 other names
Description: tRNA-Tyr
Rfam family: tRNA
About the family: Transfer RNA (tRNA) molecules are approximately 80 nucleotides in length.
Source: RNAcentral